Molecule: ribosomal RNA, 418 nt
Filed under: uncultured bacterium
Lineage: Bacteria
Description: bacterial SSU rRNA
Rfam family: Bacterial small subunit ribosomal RNA
Source: RNAcentral
GGAAUAUUGGGCAAUGGCCGAGAGGCUGACCCAGCUAUGCCGCGUGCAGGAAUAAGGCCUUCUGGGUUGUAAACUGCUUUUACAAGGGAAGAAAACGCUCCUGCGGGCGUAACUGACGGUACCUGGUGAACAAGCCCCGGCUAACUCCGUGCCAGCAGCCGCGGUAAUACGGAGGGUGCAAGCGUUGUCCGGAUUUAUUGGGUUUAAAGGGUGCGUAGGCGGCCCGUUGAGUCAGCGGUGAAAUCCCACGGCUCAACCGUGGAACUGCCGUUGAUACUGGCGGGCUUGAGUUCGGUCGAGGCGGGCGGAACUGGUGGUGUAGCGGUGAAAUGCAUAGAUACCACCAAGAACCCCCGAUUGCGUAGGCAGCUCGCUGGGCCGAAACUGACGCUGAGGCACGAAAGCGUGGGGAGCGAAC